Molecule: long non-coding RNA, 919 nt
Organism: Oreochromis aureus
Lineage: Eukaryota; Metazoa; Chordata; Actinopteri; Cichliformes; Cichlidae
Source: Ensembl
GUUACAGCCCUGUUGAAUCUGCUGUGUGUCCUGCUGCUCUUUCUAACUCACUCAGAUAAUACUUCUCCUGACUCCACUCAGCAAUCAGCACUGAGGGCAAAGCUGGUGAAGGUAGAAAGUGUGUGUGAGCUGAUGUGGAUGUGAAGUUGGCAGCAUGGGUCAGUGUGUGGGAAGACAGCAAGCUUUGAGAGCUCUGACUACAGAGAGCUCAGAGAUUUCCACUGUUCACAUACUGAAGCAGGAGUUGCCCAGCCAUGAAGAGAGGGGUUCUCCGGAGGUGAAUGUCACACCAAAGCUGAAAGUUUCAACUGAGCUCCUCGAGAUCCUGAAUGAUUUAGAUGAUGUGGACUUUGACACCUUUAAGUGGCACCUCAAGUCUGAAUCGAAGAAAAACAUCAAGCCCAUCCAACAGAGCAGGCUGACGAAGGCAGAGCGGCAUGCAAUGGUGGAUCUCAUGGUGAAGAAGUAUGAGAUAAGUGGAGCUGUAGAAGUGAUGGAGAGCGUUUUAAUGAAGAUCAGCAGGAAUGACCUGGUGGAAAAGUUGAGACUCUUAACUGAGGAUGCAUAAAUCUGACAUUUAGAUCAGAUAUCGACCAAAUCCUGAGUAGAACAUCUGAAUUUAAUCUUGGUAACAAAACAAAUUUAAGACCAGUCCAUUCAGUUAAAUCCCAUUCAGGCAUUUAUUGGACAGAUGGUAAGAUAAUGUGUUCUGGCUCUUAAUUUUGCUUAAUUUUUACUGUGUGCAGAGAGAGGUGCACUCAGUGACAUCUGCCUGUCAAAUUUGCUUUGUUUUGUUUGUGUGCGCAGUGCUGAGAAAAUAGUCACAGUACUGUGUCCCUGUAAUUAACACAGAUGAAUAAACCCCAUCAUGUGCCCGCAAAACUCUCUCAGUCAGUUCAAUUUAUUAAAGAAGCCAAAU